RNAcentral lists this ribosomal RNA (301 nucleotides) under uncultured bacterium. RNAcentral describes it as "partial 16S ribosomal RNA". It matches the Rfam family "Bacterial small subunit ribosomal RNA", at positions 509 to 807 of the family's 1533-position model. The record is from RNAcentral.
CAGCAGCCGCGGUAAUACGUAGGUGGCAAGCGUUGUCCGGAAUUAUUGGGCGUAAAGGGCUCGCAGGCGGUUUCUUAAGCCUGAUGUGAAAGCCCCCGGCUCAACCGGGGAGGGUCAUUGGAAACUGGGAAACUUGAGUGCAGAAGAGGAGAAUGGAAUUCCACGUGUAGCGGUGAAAUGCGUAGAGAUGUGGAGGAACACCAGUGGCGAAGGCGACUCUCUGGUCUGUAACUGACGCUGAGGAGCGAAAGCGUGGGGAGCGAACAGGAUUAGAUACCCGAGUAGUCCCUGUCUCUUAUAC